UGUCCGAGCUUCCAUAAUACUAUCCGGACUCCUCCAGUAGUCGACCUUCCACAGAGUCCUCCAGAUUUCUCCAACAGAUGAACUCCUAUCAUACCCUCUGGACUUCUCCAAUAAUGAGCUCCUUCAAUCAUCUAUUGGACUGCUCCAAAUGCUCUUUGGGCUUCACUAUCAGCUGAUUCUCUAUAGUGAUCGACUACUCUCCGAAUCUCUUCCAGACUUUCUCCUGUC
RNAcentral lists this long non-coding RNA (228 nucleotides) under Elaeis guineensis (African oil palm). Its description in RNAcentral is "long non-coding RNA (EGUI_LNC070854)". Lineage: Eukaryota; Viridiplantae; Streptophyta; Magnoliopsida; Arecales; Arecaceae. The record is from RNAcentral.